AGUGAGACAUCAGUUCCCCUACGACCACCGAAGUUAAGCAACGUCAAGCCUAGUCAGUGCCACGAUAGGUGACCGCUUAGGAAUACCAGGUGCUGUAC
Non-coding RNA from Acanthosepion pharaonis, 98 nucleotides. Lineage: Eukaryota; Metazoa; Mollusca; Cephalopoda; Sepiida; Sepiidae. The record is from the annotation of a GenBank genome assembly.